Molecule: long non-coding RNA, 1169 nt
Organism: Rhodamnia argentea
Lineage: Eukaryota; Viridiplantae; Streptophyta; Magnoliopsida; Myrtales; Myrtaceae
Exons: 2
Source: RefSeq, a predicted model, not a curated record
AUCAACAAUACCAUUAUCCUCACGAUCAGGAAUUGCCUCAGGAAGGCGAGUUUUUGACCCCUGGUGCUCGUUCAUCUCUGAAGAUCUCCCUUUGCUUCCUAUAAUCUUCUGCCCACCUUUUUCUCCCCCAGUCAUGGGUGAACGAUUAAAGCCAUCAACCUGUAGUUGCAAUCACGAGUCGAGACUUUUGUUUCAGAUGUUUCCUUUCAGUCAAAACUAUAAUCUCAUGUAUCGAAGAACAAUCCGAGAAGGGUGCUUUGAGAACAAGUAUUCACGCGUCUGCACUGCCAUCCAUCAUUUGGAUGAUAUUUGAAGUGGUUGAAUGAUAUGUAAAGUAUGGCUCACUUCAGCGCCGCGGGCAUCAUUCUCCACAGAGAGGUAUUUGUUAAGGGGUGAAUAUACGUGAUCCACACAUGUUUGAAGACAGAAUAUCCAAGUUAGAUUCCGCAUCAGUCCCGAUCUAUUAUCUAACGAACUAUAUAAGUUUCACUUACAGUUUGUCAAAGUUGAGUUUCUUUGUCUUGCCUUUGCCAACCGUAUCAAAGCUAAAACCCAUUGUGUCAUCUUCCGCCACAGACAACGGUUUCCUGGAGAAGAGGAGUUGAGAGCGCAGCUCUUCGAUCGGUUUGGUAUGCAUGCACAUGAGGGACAGUGAGGGAUGGGGAGGCGAGGGCGAAGAUCGUGGAGGUGAAAGCGAGAUUUUCAAAAAGAACACUAAGGAGUUCCGAGAUUCUUACAAAGCAGAGCAAGAGAAGUUGCAGCAGCUAAUCGUCUCAGCUAGGAGUAAUCUCUCUUCUGUCCAGACUGACCAAGAUCUCAAGGUGAAAAUCUGCAGGGUUAGUGCUGAGCUGUGUCUAUGGAAUAAGAGGAGAUACCGAGACUAACUGAGUCGCUGAGGCCUUGGCAGCUCUGAAGUGAAGAGACAAUGUAACUGCGGAAACUGCUUGAGGCAUCGGCUUUGCGAAGUUCCCUUGGAAUCAAGUGACUCGGUACUACUGGUAAUCAAGUUCAGCCGAGAGAAGUACGGAAAUGUGGGCUUUUUGGUUUUUUUGUUACUAUCGCUCCAAAAACUUGUUUAUGCAUUUGGAACAUCCAUGCUAGUGAAGUAGGUCUUGUUGUUGAUCACGAUAUUGAGGGAAUUGAAUGGAAGAAGGAAAGAUUGGUUAUGG